GGCGGCAGGCCUAACACAUGCAAGUCGAGCGGUAACAUUUCUAGCUUGCUAGAAGAUGACGAGCGGCGGACGGGUGAGUAACGCGUAGAAAUCUACCUAGUAGUGGGGGAUAGCCCAGAGAAAUUUGGAUUAAUACCGCAUACGCCCUACGGGGGAAAGCGGGGGAUCGUUCGGACCUCGUGCUAUUAGAUGAGUCUGCGUCGGAUUAGCUUGUUGGUGAGGUAAUGGCUCACCAAGGCGACGAUCCGUAGCUGGUCUGAGAGGAUGACCAGCCACACUGGAACUGAGACACGGUCCAGACUCCUACGGGAGGCAGCAGUGGGGAAUAUUGCACAAUGGGCGCAAGCCUGAUGCAGCCAUGCCGCGUGUGUGAAGAAGGCCUUAGGGUUGUAAAGCACUUUCAGCAGUGAGGAAAGGGGUGUCGUUAAUAGCGCCAUCCUGUGACGUUAACUGCAGAAGAAGCACCGGCUAAUUUCGUG
Molecule: ribosomal RNA, 479 nt
Filed under: uncultured bacterium
Lineage: Bacteria
Description: bacterial SSU rRNA
Rfam family: Bacterial small subunit ribosomal RNA
Source: RNAcentral